GAUGAACGCUGGCGGCGUGCCUAAUACAUGCAAGUCGAGCGAACAGAUGAGGAGCUUGCUCCUCUGACGUUAGCGGCGGACGGGUGAGUAACACGUGGAUAACCUACCUAUAAGACUGGGAUAACUUCGGGAAACCGGAGCUAAUACCGGAUAAUAUAUUGAACCGCAUGGUUCAAUAGUGAAAGACGGUUUUGCUGUCACUUAUAGAUGGAUCCGCGCCGCAUUAGCUAGUUGGUAAGGUAACGGCUUACCAAGGCAACGAUGCGUAGCCGACCUGAGAGGGUGAUCGGCCACACUGGAACUGAGACACGGUCCAGACUCCUACGGGAGGGAGCAGUAGGGAAUCUUCCGCAAUGGGCGAAAGCUUGACGGAGCAACGCCGCGUGAGUGAUGAAGGUCUUCGGAUCGUAAAACUCUGUUAUUAGGGAAGAACAAAUGUGUAAGUAACUAUGCACGUCUUGACGGUACCUAAUCAGAAAGCCACGGCUAACUACGUG
Molecule: ribosomal RNA, 497 nt
Filed under: uncultured bacterium
Lineage: Bacteria
Description: partial 16S ribosomal RNA
Rfam family: Bacterial small subunit ribosomal RNA
Source: RNAcentral